This is a long non-coding RNA of Ailuropoda melanoleuca (giant panda), 2128 nucleotides long. The record is from Ensembl. Lineage: Eukaryota; Metazoa; Chordata; Mammalia; Carnivora; Ursidae.
CGGGACCGAAGAGGUGACAGCCUCGGCGGGGCGGCGCUAGGCGGCAGUGACCGCCAGAGUCCCGGGUGCGUGUGCACGUGUGUGUGCGCACGUGUGCGCGCGCUCCGCCCGGUCCCGGGCAGCCACCUGUCACUCACGGGGGCAAAGGGGCCGCGGCGGAGAGGACGCAGAGGGGGCGGGGCGGCGGCCGGAGAGGGGCGGCGCCGAGGCCGGUCCCGCGGAGGCCCUCCCGGCGGAACCCCGCGUGCUGCAGCCAUGGAGACGCGGUAAUCCCCUCCUCCGGCCCGCGCCCCGGCCCCCGCAGCCGUCGCCGAUUGGUCGCCCUUUGCUCCCUGACCCUCUCGCCGCCUCCGAGGCCACCGCUUCCUGCUCGGUUGCCGCGCCGCGCUCCCGGCCCGGGGCGGAGCUCGGGCGCCGGGCGCGCGCCGCUUUCGCCGCGGCCGAGCAGCAGCCGGCGCCGGAGGAGGAGCCGCCGCCGCGCCCUUCCCCUUCCUCCGCUCCUCCCCCGGCCCUCUCCCCGCCCGCGCCGGCCCCAGGCAGCACUUGCGAGCAGCGGCGGCCGCGGCCGGCGGCCGAAAGGGGAGAAUGCGGCGGCGCUCGCGGAUGCUGCUCUGCUUCGCCUUCCUGUGGGUGCUGGGCAUCGCCUACUACAUGUACUCGGGGGGCGGCUCCGCGCUGGCCGCGGGCGCGGGCGGCAGCGCCGGCAGGAAGGAGGACUGGAAUGAAAUUGACCCAGUUAAAAAAGAAAGACCUUCAUCAUAGCAACGGGGAUGAGAAAGCACAAAGCGUGGAGACCCUCCCUCCAGGUACCGCGGCAGCCCCUGGGGACCCGUCGGCCUUGGGCUGGUGGCUGGUGGCUAGUGGCUGGGAAGUCCUCUUGCUCAGAAACUGCGAAUGAGCUGAAUGUGCCCUUUGGCACCUAUGGAGCCUGCGGGAUAGAAAAUGGAUUUCAUAGGGCUGCUUGAGACACUGCCCUAUAGCAAUGUUUUGGGGACUUCCUUCAAGCCCAUUAGUGGGUGGUGAAAUAAGUUUACUAGGAGAUGACCAAAAUUUGUUGAAAGAAAAAAAAUAGACUAAAAUAGAAAAUAUAGGAUAGUAUAUUGGUUCACAAAUAUUUUAAAAGACUCUUUUUUAGAGCAGUUUCACGUUCACAGCGAACUUGUGUGUAAAGGACAGAGCUUCCCAUCUACCUCCUGCCCCUGCACAUGUGCACCUCCCGCACUGUCAGCAUAUCCCACCAGAGUGGUCCAUUCCUACAGUCAGGGUACCAACAUUGACACGUCACAGUCACCCAGAGUCCAUAGUUCAUUCACAGUAGGAUUCACUCUUGGUGGUGUACAUUCGGUGGGUUUUAACAAAAGUAUAGAGACAUGAAUCCACCAUUACAGUAUCCUACAGGAGAGUUUCACUGCCCUAAACAGCCUCUGUGUUCCGACUUUUCAUCCCUCCCUCCCCCUAAUCCCUGACAACCACGGAUCCUUUUCCUGUCUCCAUAGUUUUGCCUUUUCCAGAGUGUCCUAUAGUUAGCAUCAUACAGUAUGUUGCCUUUUCAAACUGGCUCGUCUCACUUAAUAAUGUGUAGUGAAGUUUCCUCCACGUCUUUGCAUGGCUUGUUGGUGUAUUUGUUCUUAUCACUGAGUACUAUUCUGCUGUCUGAAUGGACCACGGUUUAUCCAUCACCUACUAAAGGACAUCCUGGUUGCUUCUAAGCUUUGGCAGUUGUGAAAAGAACUGCUGUAAAGAGCUGCGUGAAGGGUUUUGUGUAGAUGUACGUUUUCAGUUCAUUUGGGUGAAUACCGAGGAGGAAGACCGCUGGAUCACGUAGUAAGACUGUGUGUAGUGUUGUGAGAAACUACCAAACUGUCUUCCAAAGCAGCUGUACCAUUUUGCAUUCCCACCAGCAGUGAAGGAGAGUUCCGGCUGCUCCACGUCUUCAGCAGCAUUUGGUGUUGUCAGUGUUUUUCAUUUGGGCUGUCGUAACAGGUGGGAAGUAGAAUCUCAUUGUUUAAAUUUGCAUUUCUCUAAUGAUACAUGAUACUGAGUUUCUUUUGAUGUAUUCAUUUACCCUCUGUUUAUCUCCUUUGGAGAGUUAUCUAUUCUGGUCUUUCACCCAUUUUUUUAAGUGGAU